This 456-nucleotide ribosomal RNA is filed under the name Triticum aestivum (bread wheat). Its description in RNAcentral is "partial small subunit ribosomal RNA". The record is from RNAcentral. Lineage: Eukaryota; Viridiplantae; Streptophyta; Magnoliopsida; Poales; Poaceae.
AUGCUCCUGCUCAAAGCUUUCGAUGAAGGUAGUCAAAUUUCAUCAUCUUCCUUGCUACAGUAGCAUCAGCAUCGGUUCCGCAAGAUGCUCAGCGUCAAUGCAUCUUCCAUGUCAUCGAGUGGCGGCGGAGCCCACGCGGAGCCAUUGGAGCUGGAGGAGUGCUCGAAGGAGCUCCUGGAGGUGUCGCGGAACAACACGGACAUGGCCGGUGGCAUGCCGACGUAGAGCGUGGAGGUCACCAACACCUGGAUCGACUGCGUUGUGUGCGAUGUCCACGUCGCAUGCGGCGACUUUGCCUCAAAUGAUGUCAUCGACCCAGACAAGUUUCACCGCCUCAUCUUUUACGACUGCCUCGUCAAUGGUGGCGGAUCCACUAAGCCCAGCUUUCCUGUGUCAUUCCAGUAUGGCAACUCCUUUCCCUACCCGACGACAGUCGCGCCCGCCUCAUGUGACUGA